GAAAGGAAUGGUUCAAGGAGGCAACAGGGGGCGGCGGGGGGCUUGGGCCCUCAUCGCCCUGGCAAUGCCUCAGGCCCAGCCCUCAUCCCCAGUUCCGUCAGCGCUCUCUCAUGCCUUCAGAGAAACCAGGGCUGGGAUGGGCCACACAGCAAACCACCCCUCCCCCACUUCCCAUGCAGCUACUUGGCCCCCAGACCUUGUCCUCCCAUCAUUCUCCUCAUACUCCUUUUCGGUGACCCCCUCAUGUAGAAAGGGUUUGGCUGCAAUGCAAAGGAUCGCUCUGCAGGAUCUUUGGGGCCCCAUCUCCAGGCGAUUCCUGUGUGGCAGGUGUCUGAGGGGGCUCAGGAGCCUGGAGGUUUGGGAUCAUGAAGAGCCUCGGAUAAUGGGGUUCAGUCCUGCCACCAUGUUCACGGCUGGAAGGAAGUCCUGUAAUUGAAAAGUGAGCCUUACCUCUGAUCUCCUAGGAAGACCUGGGGACUGGAUUUCUUUGUGGGACAGUCCCCCCCCUCCCCCGUGGUUUCACAAUUCCUAUGUCAUCCUCAGUGAGCACUUUUGGCCUCUCUUUUGGGAGGACCAGGGCGGCGAGAGCUCUCAGCCUCUGCUGUCCCAGCCUGGGAAUGCCUGGGUGGGUGAGGACUCUCCUCUGCCAUUGAACUCAACCUCGGCUGUCAUCUGCCUGGCUGUCAGCACUGACCUGGGCAUCCUGCCUCUUGGUCCAGCCAGGUCCCUCACAGAGAGGGUCCACACAGAUACCAGUCAUGCACCCUCCUGGGGGCAGAGCCUUUGGAAGUCACCAUUGUAAGUUCCACCCUGUUCUCCAAAAUUUUGUAGAAGGGUUUGUCCUAAGUUUCUACAGUGGCUCCCUUGCCCCUUCCAGCCCCAGCUUCUCAAUUGCUGAAGUCUUGGCAAAUAUUUGGGAACCAUACACACACACACCAAAGAAACGGCUUUCAAUGGCAGUCCUGGGACCUCCCCUGGGUCUAGAACCCCUGGCUGAGGGACCUGUGGUACUGGGCCAAAGUCCUGGGCUUAAGCCAAGAGGACUGGAUUGACUACCACUUCCUGCCUUGGGCAAGUUCUUUCAUUUUCCCCCUGAGCCUCUGUUUCUCCAUAUGUAAAAUGGGGCGAAUGCCAACUUAGUUUAUGUGAGGCCCCCAAGCAGCAGAGGCCAGGAAAUGUCCUCCCUUCCCUCCUCUCCCACCAUGGGGAUCCUAGGUGCUGUUUAGGUGGGCUCCAAGGGAGAGCUGUUCCUGAUCUGUCACCAUCCUUCCUGGCUGAUUCUCUGGCUUCCUGUCAAUAAAAAUAGCAACUGCUUGUGGGGAGUCUGGGAU
This 1331-nucleotide long non-coding RNA is filed under the name Sus scrofa (pig). RNAcentral's name for it is "lncRNA (ENSSSCG00065073256.1)". Lineage: Eukaryota; Metazoa; Chordata; Mammalia; Artiodactyla; Suidae. The record is from RNAcentral.